GCUGGUGUUUUAGACAAGAGGAAGAGGUUGCCAAGGAGGGCAAUUGGGAGGGGCAACAAGGAUGGAUAAGCAGAUACAGAUCCAAAAGGACGAUGGGAGGAGAGAAAGAGGGGAGAGGAAACAAAAUAGAUAAUAACUACCAGGAAUGAACAAGAAGGAAGGCCCGACAUCUAUAGAGGCAGGAGAUCAUUGGAAUAAAAGAGGGAGAGAAGCCAGCAGAAGAAGCAAAGAAGAGGCGGCAGAACUAAAAAACUAAAAAAAAUGAGUGUGUUAGUUUUGCUUUAGUACCUGGUUAACUGUGGAGCUUAGUGAUUUCAGGCUUUGCUCCAAAACUCUUAGCUCCUCCUCCACUUUCCGAGCGCGCCUGUUAGUGGGCGGGGCACGCGUGUGCAAGCCAAAACCAUUCAAACCGUGGUGAGCAUGCAAAUAAUCAGCACAAAAAAGUAAGAACACAGGGCCCGCUGUCUACGCGGAAACAGUAAUGUGCUCUGUGUGUUAGUGCGCAGAGCCAAAAUUUGUUUUCAUGCACGUGUGAGUGCUGGUUUAGGGGAAAAAAAGCAGAAAGCUCUUACCCCUCUGAAAGCUCAGCGCGCUCCUCUGUGCGCUCCAAGUCACCCUCAAUGAUGACCAGUUUACGAGCCACCUGAAGGUGAAGCACAACCGUGUUAAACAACAACUCGCAAAAGGUUAAUAUUUAUAACCUUCAUUUACAGGUGGAGAACACACGGAACAGUUCAUUUGCCUAAAGUUGUGUGAGAACAAAAAAUAUGUGUAGAAACUUGCUGUGAAAGUAAAAACAUAACCGUGUGAAACAACAAAAGAGAAAGUUCUUGGGAAAUGGAAUCGAGGAGAUGCUGAUUCCUCAUCAGCGAUUCUUGCCGGCGGCUGAAAGACUCGCCUCCUCAUAUUUGCGGUCGGCCUCCUCAGCGAUGUGUUUGGCCUCUUUCAGCUGGAUCUCCUGGAUCUCCAUCUUCUCCUCAUCCUUCAUGGCCCUGUUCUCAAUGACCUUCAUGCCUCUGUGAACGCAGACAGUCAGGGAAUGUUAGGAAUUGACUUGUGACAUUCUCCUCAAAGUCAAAAAAAAAAAAAAAAACUUGUCUAUUUUGCCCUUAAGGUGCAUGAGUCAGAGAUCAUUUGUGUCGGUCUCACCCAAGGCAGGGAAAAAUUUUAACCAUUUAGUCAACUCAGACUGACUUACACUCCUUUUAAAAAGAGAAUAAUGUUCAUAGGCUGAACACAGACUGGCUUAAAGUUAACUUUAACCCAGAUUGGGACCAACAAUAACAAAUUUGAAGACAAAGAGGAUAAAAACGUUCCCUCCAGAGAUACGUUUUGUACUGCUAAAAGAAAAGCAAAAAAUACUAAGAGGAAAAAAA
Long non-coding RNA from Oryzias melastigma (Indian medaka), 1376 nucleotides. RefSeq lists it as uncharacterized. The transcript is spliced from 2 exons. NCBI's taxonomy places the organism in Eukaryota, Metazoa, Chordata, Actinopteri, Beloniformes, Adrianichthyidae. The record is from RefSeq and is a predicted model, not a curated record.